This is a long non-coding RNA of Paramormyrops kingsleyae, 924 nucleotides long. RefSeq lists it as uncharacterized. The record is from RefSeq and is a predicted model, not a curated record. Lineage: Eukaryota; Metazoa; Chordata; Actinopteri; Osteoglossiformes; Mormyridae.
UGAGACGCAAAUUAGCGGCAUCUCCAAAUUAAGCCUCAUGUCGUUCCACGAACGUAGCUCAGCUGUAACUAAUCGAGGCUUAUUCAAGGCAGACUUGCAUAGUCUCACUUUGUGCGCGCGCCCGCGAUAUUUAAAAAGCCCAAAAGAAUGGAUGAACGAAACAUAGAUCCGAAAUGAGCCAGACGGUGAAAACGCGGGCAGUUUUGUUCUCCGCUGCUGAGCAAACGCUGCUCUUGGACCUGUAUGAGGAAUAUGCAGACACAAUAAAUAAAAAAGGGAACACCGUUGCAAUUAAUAAAGCCAGGGAAAAGGCGUGGCAAAAUAUUGCGGACAGACUUAAUUCAAGCAAUCUAAGUGGGCAGCGAAGAACCUGGCAGCAACUAAAACCUAAAUAUAAAAAUAUCUUCCAUAAUGCUGCCAAGAAAAAGAGGCAGGCAACUGCUACUGGUGGGGGGCCUCCACCUGAAGACCUCACACCAGCAGAGGAGCUGGCACUGAGCCUUAAUCGAGGUCGACCUCAGGAGGGAAUAGAAGGUGGGGUAUCAACAGAGAUCAUCCCCUCAGGUGUCCGGGAGAAAUAUGUACAAGUUUGAUGGCCCCAGUACAUCCAGGGCUGUUGAUGAAGAGACAGUGUCUGCAGACACCGAUAUUCAGGAGGAUGUGCCCACACCACCGUCCCCGUCAGCAAAGAGUGAACUUCAAGCAAAGGAUGAUUGACAUGUCUGUUCUGAAUCUGUCCAAUUAGGAAUAAUUGGACAGAUUCAGAACAGUGACGGCAGGAGGCAGAGUUGUGAAACAGCACCACCAGCUGGUGAUGUAAUACAUUGACAUUUUUGCACCUUAAAUAAAGUAUUCCAACUUGUUUAAAUUAGUUUGUUUUAUUUAUUUUAUUGGGAAAGUGUCCCAAAACAAUAUUUUACAUGA